RNAcentral lists this small RNA (94 nucleotides) under Flavobacterium frigoris. RNAcentral describes it as "Flavo-1 RNA". It matches the Rfam family "Flavo-1 RNA". Lineage: Bacteria; Pseudomonadati; Bacteroidota; Flavobacteriia; Flavobacteriales; Flavobacteriaceae. The record is from RNAcentral.
UUUUUGUGCGUGAGGGAUAGCAGCGGAAAUCCUUAUCUAGUAUGGAGCGAUAGCGAAAUACUAGAGAAGAUUGCAGCGCAUAGCCCGACCCGCU